RNAcentral lists this ribosomal RNA (301 nucleotides) under uncultured bacterium. RNAcentral's name for it is "partial 16S ribosomal RNA". It matches the Rfam family "Bacterial small subunit ribosomal RNA", at positions 509 to 807 of the family's 1533-position model. The record is from RNAcentral.
CAGUAGCCGCGGUAAUACGUAGGGUGCAAGCGUUAAUCGGAAUUACUGGGCGUAAAGCGUGCGCAGGCGGUUUGUUAAGACAGAUGUGAAAUCCCCGGGCUCAACCUGGGAACUGCAUUUGUGACUGGCAAGCUAGAGUGUGGCAGAGGGGGGUGGAAUUCCGCGUGUAGCAGUGAAAUGCGUAGAUAUGCGGAGGAACACCGAUGGCGAAGGCAGCCCCCUGGGCCAACACUGACGCUCAUGCACGAAAGCGUGGGGAGCAAACAGGAUUAGAUACCCGUGUAGUCCCUGUCUCUUAUAC